GACGAACGCUGGCGGCGUGCUUAACACAUGCAAGUCGAACGGAAAGGCCCUGCUUUUGUGGGGUGCUCGAGUGGCGAACGGGUGAGUAACACGUGAGUAACCUGCCCUUGACUUUGGGAUAACUUCAGGAAACUGGGGCUAAAACCGGAUAGGAGCUCCUGCUGCAUGGUGGGGGUUGGAAAGUUUCGGCGGUUGGGGAUGGACUCGCGGCUUAUCAGCUUGUUGGUGGGGUAGUGGCUUACCAAGGCUUUGACGGGUAGCCGGCCUGAGAGGGUGACCGGCCACAUUGGGACUGAGAUACGGCCCAGACUCCUACGGGAGGCAGCAGUGGGGAAUAUUGCACAAUGGGCGGAAGCCUGAUGCAGCAACGCCACGUGCGGGAUGACGGCCUUCGGGUUGUAAACCGCUUUCGCCUGUGACGAAGCGUGAGUGACGGUAAUGGGUAAAGAAGCACCGGCUAACUACGUG
This 468-nucleotide ribosomal RNA is filed under the name uncultured bacterium. RNAcentral's name for it is "partial 16S ribosomal RNA". It matches the Rfam family "Bacterial small subunit ribosomal RNA", at positions 28 to 507 of the family's 1533-position model. The record is from RNAcentral.